Molecule: long non-coding RNA, 379 nt
Organism: Dendrobium catenatum
Lineage: Eukaryota; Viridiplantae; Streptophyta; Magnoliopsida; Asparagales; Orchidaceae
Exons: 3
Source: RefSeq, a predicted model, not a curated record
UAAAAGUAGUGUAAUUCGGAUUUAUGUGCAGCGAAGUGCUUGUGGAGAAGAUAUUGUUAGUGAAGGAAAAUUAAGACGUUCGAAUUGAAGAGUGACUAAAUCUUAGAAGAUAGACAAAGGGUGAUAUAGAUUAUAUAGUCUUAUGCAAAGAGGAGGCUUUGGAGUGAUUUAUAAUAGAAGAAAAGUAAGAAGUGAAGGUUUGGAAGAAGCAAACCGUCAAGAAGGUAAGUAAUGCAAAUUAAAGUUUUAAAUGUAAUUCUUGUUAAUUUUACAUUGUAUAUUAGUAUUUGAAUGAAUGCAAGAGAAAUAUGCAUUCCAAGCAAUUCUCUGGCUAAAGGAUGUUCCUAACUUAGUUUCCAUAUAUGAAAGACCUCUUAUA